This 74-nucleotide transfer RNA is filed under the name Microbacteriaceae bacterium. RNAcentral describes it as "tRNA-Leu". It matches the Rfam family "tRNA". Rfam says of the family: Transfer RNA (tRNA) molecules are approximately 80 nucleotides in length. Their secondary structure includes four short double-helical elements and three loops (D, anti-codon, and T loops). Further hydrogen bonds mediate the characteristic L-shaped molecular structure. tRNAs have two regions of fundamental functional importance: the anti-codon, which is responsible for specific mRNA codon recognition, and the 3' end, to which the tRNAs corresponding amino acid is attached (by aminoacyl-tRNA synthetases). tRNAs cope with the degeneracy of the genetic code in two manners: having more than one tRNA (with a specific anti-codon) for a particular amino acid; and 'wobble' base-pairing, i.e. permitting non-standard base-pairing at the 3rd anti-codon position. Lineage: Bacteria; Bacillati; Actinomycetota; Actinomycetes; Micrococcales; Microbacteriaceae. The record is from RNAcentral.
CCCCUGGUGGCCCAAUCGGCAGAGGCACGCGACUUAAAAUCGCCGAGUUGCGGGUUCGAAUCCCGCCCGGGGGA